CAAGCUGCACAUGCAUCCAGCCUCUAGAAGUCAUCCACACGAGCCCAUGAAUCACGAUCAGAAGUGCUGGUCCAGAAAAUCAGUACAGUAUGCUAGUACUGUGCUGAUCCUUCUUCGAUGGUCGAUCGGAUGCCUCCUUCUUCUUGAUUUGGACUCUUCAAAAGAUGAAAAGUUGGAGAAGAAGUUUUAGAUAUGAGACACUCUCAGAAAACUCAUAG
RNAcentral lists this long non-coding RNA (218 nucleotides) under Elaeis guineensis (African oil palm). RNAcentral's name for it is "long non-coding RNA (EGUI_LNC061860)". The record is from RNAcentral. Lineage: Eukaryota; Viridiplantae; Streptophyta; Magnoliopsida; Arecales; Arecaceae.